This 493-nucleotide ribosomal RNA is filed under the name uncultured bacterium. Its description in RNAcentral is "bacterial SSU rRNA". It matches the Rfam family "Bacterial small subunit ribosomal RNA", at positions 28 to 514 of the family's 1533-position model. The record is from RNAcentral.
GAUGAACGCUAGCUACAGGCUUAACACAUGCAAGUCGAGGGGCAGCGCAGUGUAGCAAUACAUGGGCGGCGACCGGCGCACGGGUGCGUAACGCGUAUCCAACCUUCCCGUUACUCAGGGAUAGCCUUCCGAAAGGGAGAUUAAUACCUGAUGGUGUUUGAAUUCCGCAUGUUAUUCAAACUAAAGAUUCAUCGGUAACGGAUGGGGAUGCGUGACAUUAGAUAGUAGGCGGGGUAACGGCCCACCAUGGCAACGAUGUCUAGGGGUUCUGAGAGGAAGGUCCCCCCACACUGGAACUGAGACACGGUCCAGACUCCUACGGGAGGCAGCAGUGAGGAAUAUUGGUCAAUGGUCUGACGACUGAACCAGCCAUGCCGCGUGAAGGUCACGGCCCUAUGGGUCUUAAACUUCUUUUGUAAGGGAGCAAUAAGGUGCACGUGUGCAUCGAUGAGAGUACCUUACGAAUAAGCAUCGGCUAACUCCGUGCCAGCAG